RNAcentral lists this ribosomal RNA (506 nucleotides) under uncultured bacterium. RNAcentral describes it as "partial 16S ribosomal RNA". It matches the Rfam family "Bacterial small subunit ribosomal RNA", at positions 28 to 523 of the family's 1533-position model. The record is from RNAcentral.
GAUGAACGCUAGCGGCAGGCCUAACACAUGCAAGUCGAGGGGUAACUAGAGUGAUAGCAAUAUUACUUUGGCUAGACCGGCGCACGGGUGCGUAACACGUAUGCAACCUACCUUAUACUGGGGAAUAACUUCGAGAAAUCGGCGCUAAUACCCCAUAACAUUGCGAAGAGGCAUCUCUUUGCAAUUAAAGCUCCGGCGGUAUAAGAUGGGCAUGCGUCCAAUUAGCUAGUUGGUGAGGUAACGGCUCACCAAGGCUACGAUUGGUAGGGGUUCUGGGAGGAUGAUCCCCAACACUGGUACUGAGACACGGACCAGACUCCUACGGGAGGCAGCAGCGAGGAAUAUUGCGCAAUGGACGAAAGUCUGACGCAGACAUGCGGCGUGCAGGAUGACGGCCCUAUGGGUUGUAAACUGCUUUUGUACGGGAAUAAACCCUUCUACGUGUAGGAGGCUGAAGGUACCGUAAGAAUAAGCACCGGCUAACUCCGUGCCAGCCGCCGCAGUAA